RNA transcript from Sapajus apella (tufted capuchin), 1311 nucleotides. It is a transcript of the gene named peroxisomal membrane protein PMP34 pseudogene, with no coding region annotated. The transcript has a single exon. Lineage: Eukaryota; Metazoa; Chordata; Mammalia; Primates; Cebidae. The record is from RefSeq and is a predicted model, not a curated record.
CUGCACCAAUGGCCUCCAUGCUCUCCUAUGAAAGCCUAAACCACGCCGUGGCUGGAGCAGUGGGAAGCAUGACAGCAAUGACAGUGUUUUUUCCCCUGGAUACAGCUAGACUUCGACUUCAGGUUGUUGAGAGAGAAAAUCCAAAAUUACACACAUGGUGCUUCUGGAGAUCAUUAAAAAGAAGGACUCCUGGCACUAUAUUGAGGGUGGUUUCCAGCAAUUUCCAGUUUCUACACUUUUAAUAGCCUCAAAGCAGUCUGGGUCAAAGGUCAACGUUCUACUACUGGUAAAGAUCUGGUAGUUGGGUUUGUUGCAGGGGUGGUUAACACGUGGCUGACAACUCCACUCUGGGUGGUAAACACCAGAAUAAAGCUGCGAGGGGCAAAAUUUAGUACUGAAGAUUGUACCAACAAACUACAAAGGUAUCAUUGAAGCUUUUUAUCAGAUCAUUCGAGGCGAAGAAAUCUUGGCUUAUUGGAAUGGCACAUUUUCCUCAUUGCUGUUGAUCUUCAAUCCUGCCAUCCAGUUCAUGUUUUAUGAAGGUUUUAAACGGCAGCUUUAAAAGAAAUGGAUGAAGCUUUCUUCUUUGGAUGUGUUCAUCACUGGUGCAGUAGCCACCGCAAUUGCCACCAUCACCUAUCCCAUGCAGACGAUAUAGUCAACUCUGAGGUUUUGGCAUCAUAGACCAAACCCAGAAAACAGAACACUGGGAAGUCUUCAGAAUGUUCUCUAUCUUCUUCACCAAUGAGUAAGAUGUUUUGGAAUAAUGAGACUCUACUACAAAGGCCUUGAAGCCAAAUUGCUGCAGACAGUCCUCACCGCUGCUUUCAGGUUCCAUGUUUAUGAGAAACUGAAGCUGCCACCUUCAUAGUUAUGGAGCUGAAGAGUGCACACAAACACAGAGACGCCUUCGCAUGAAAAAUUUCGAAGAUGCUCAACAGGGAGAUUUCCUCCUGAGUGAAGUGAUUCUCCUUUGACUCUGGCUCCUGCCACAGCAAAUGUUAUUCUCAUUGGCUUGAAAAGCAUUCAAGGGUGAACACGGAGUGUGGCCAACUGGACCUGCUGUCACCUUAAUUAUUAUGCUGGCUGGUUGGAUUUUGGGCUGGCAGUUGGACUAAUAUGAAAAAAAAAUUGUUGAAAAUCUAUAAAUGAAAGUUUGUGUUUAUUGGUUUUCUUAAGAGAAAUGGACUCUUUUGCUCUCGUGUGUAAUCUUUUCUAUUUCAAUUUUUCUUAAAUAUACCAGCUGUUCUCUUUCCCUGAACUCUCCCCCAGGUUCUAGGACAAAUUGAAUAACAUGUAAUUCUCCUCAAA